Molecule: long non-coding RNA, 748 nt
Organism: Cygnus olor (mute swan)
Lineage: Eukaryota; Metazoa; Chordata; Aves; Anseriformes; Anatidae
Exons: 2
Source: RefSeq, a predicted model, not a curated record
CUACUGAAUGGGCAAAGAAGGAAAAGAAAAAGGAAGCAGGAGCAAGAAAUAAGAAAAAGCAUGGCUUGGACCACCAUCUGCAGAGGCUGAACCUUCUCACCAACUCUCGGUCCCUUGACAGGCGCACACCACAUCUCCAGAGCCCUGAUUCAUGCAAGGAGGUUUGGGCCUGCAAGAGGGAAAACCCCUCCUGCUUUUGGCUGGUUCUCUGUGAGGAAGAGCUUCUGCUGCAGCAGUAAGGGCAGAAGAAAAGAAAGUCGCAGGGUUCCCCAAAUGGCCAUGAAAAUGAGAGAACUCCUCUGCAUUAGCACAAAAUGCCUGUGGCACUGAAAUCUUUGGAUCGUGCCACUGUUUUCUGGUUCCUGAUCUCUUCCAGCUUCCUAAAAAAAUGAAACCAAAACAUGCCUUGGAGCUAAGCAACGUCUCAGAUGUGUCACCAAAAAACAGCGAGACCUACUCACUGACAGGCAGCAGCCGACCAGCAAACAGCCGGAGCCAUCGUCAGAAGCCCGCAAGCGUGGGGUGAGGAGAGGGGCAAUUUUCAGGCUUGAAUGAAUGUGUUAAUCCCAAAGGGGCCCUGUGGGAUGCAUGAAGAGAGCGCUGUCCAUCAGGCACACCACCAGCCUGGGGUCGGUGCAGGGCAGCAUUGCCCUGACUCAUCCAACAGCAUGGGAAGGUGGGGACCCAUUUGGCAAGGGUGACCUUCUGUUUAUAAGCCAUGCAAAAAGUUAAAGACUCAUGAUAUUGC